RNAcentral lists this ribosomal RNA (501 nucleotides) under uncultured bacterium. RNAcentral describes it as "partial 16S ribosomal RNA". It matches the Rfam family "Bacterial small subunit ribosomal RNA", at positions 30 to 523 of the family's 1533-position model. The record is from RNAcentral.
AUUGAACGCUGGCGGCAGGCUUAACACAUGCAAGUCGAGCGGGGGAAGGUAGCUUGCUACCGGACCUAGCGGCGGACGGGUGAGUAAUGCUUAGGAAUCUGCCUAUUAGUGGGGGACAACAUCUCGAAAGGGAUGCUAAUACCGCAUACGUCCUACGGGAGAAAGCAGGGGAUCUUCGGACCUUGCGCUAAUAGAUGAGCCUAAGUCGGAUUAGCUAGUUGGUGGGGUAAAGGCCUACCAAGGCGACGAUCUGUAGCGGGUCUGAGAGGAUGAUCCGCCACACUGGGGCUGAGACACGGCCCAGACUCCUACGGGAGGCAGCAGUGGGGAAUAUUGGACAAUGGGGGGAACCCUGAUCCAGCCAUGCCGCGUGUGUGAAGAAGGCCUUAUGGUUGUAAAGCACUUUAAGCGAGGAGGAGGCUACUCUAGUUAAUACCUAGGGAUAGUGGACGUUACUCGCAGAAUAAGCACCGGCUAACUCUGUGCCAGCAGCAGCCGCGG